GAUCCUGGCUCAGGGUGAACGCUGGCGGCGUGCUUAACACAUGCAAGUCGAACGAAGCACUUUAUUAUGAUUUCUUCGGAAUGACGAUUUAGUGACUGAGUGGCGGACGGGUGAGUAACGCGUGGGUAACCUGCCUUAUACAGGGGGAUAACAGUUAGAAAUGACUGCUAAUACCGCAUAAGCGCACAGGAUUGCAUGAUCUGGUGUGAAAAACUCCGGUGGUAUAAGAUGGACCCGCGU
RNAcentral lists this ribosomal RNA (240 nucleotides) under uncultured bacterium. RNAcentral describes it as "partial 16S ribosomal RNA". It matches the Rfam family "Bacterial small subunit ribosomal RNA", at positions 15 to 236 of the family's 1533-position model. The record is from RNAcentral.